This 253-nucleotide ribosomal RNA is filed under the name uncultured bacterium. Its description in RNAcentral is "partial 16S ribosomal RNA". It matches the Rfam family "Bacterial small subunit ribosomal RNA", at positions 524 to 776 of the family's 1533-position model. The record is from RNAcentral.
UACGUAGGGGGCUAGCGUUGUCCGGAUUUAUUGGGCGUAAAGAGCGUGUAGGCGGCCAGGUAGGUCUGCUGUGAAAACUCGAGGCUCAACCUCGAGACGUCGGCGGAAACCAUCUGGCUAGAGUCCGGAAGAGGAGAGUGUAAUUCCUGGUGUAGCGGUGAAAUGCGCAGAUAUCAGGAAGAACACCCGUGGCGAAGGCGGCUCUCUGGGACGGUACUGACGCUGAGACGCGAAAGCGUGGGGAGCGAACAGG